GGAGGUAGUGACAAUAAAUCACAAUGCGGGACUAUCAGUCUUGCAAUUGGAUUGAGAACAAUGUACAACUCUUAUCGAUAAGCCAUUGGAGGGCAAGUCUGGUGCCAGCAGCCGCGGUAAUUCCAGCUCCAAUAGCGUAUAUUAACGUUGUUGCAGUUAAAAAGCUCGUAGUUGAAGUGUGGGUGAUGCUGUCUGUGAGACUUCGGUCUCUCGACAGUAAGUCACCCCCUUCCAGUAUCCAGUAGUGGGUAUUCAGUUACUUACUAUUGUGUGUUGGUCGUUUACUGUGAGAAAAUUAGAGUGUUCAAAGCAGGCGUUUGCUUGAAUAGAUUAGCAUGGAAUAAUAAUUGAAGGCUUUCGUGUUCGAUUUGAUUGGUUUGUUCAUGGAAGCAAGGUUAAAAGGAACAGUUGGGGGUAUUCAUAUUCACUAGUUAGAGGUGAAAUUCUCGGAUUUAUGGAAGAUGAACAAGUGCGAAAGCA
RNAcentral lists this ribosomal RNA (480 nucleotides) under Blastocystis sp. subtype 1. RNAcentral's name for it is "SSU rRNA". It matches the Rfam family "Eukaryotic small subunit ribosomal RNA", at positions 460 to 953 of the family's 1831-position model. Lineage: Eukaryota; Bigyra; Opalinata; Blastocystidae. The record is from RNAcentral.